GACGAACGCUGGCGGCGUGCUUAACACAUGCAAGUCGAACGGAAAGGCCCUGCUUGCAGGGUACUCGAGUGGCGAACGGGUGAGUAACACGUGGGUGAUCUGCCCUGCACUUCGGGAUAAGCCUGGGAAACUGGGUCUAAUACCGGAUAGGAGCCAUAUUUAGUGUGAUGGUUGGAAAGUUUUUUCGGUGUAGGAUGAGCUCGCGGCCUAUCAGCUUGUUGGUGGGGUAAUGGGCUACCAAGGCGGCGACGGGUAGCCGGCCUGAGAGGGUGGACGGCCACAUUGGGACUGAGAGACGGCCCAGACUCCUACGGGAGGCAGCAGUGGGGAAGAUUGCACAAUGGGCGCAAGCCGGAUGAAGCGAGGCCGCGUGGGGGAUGACGGUCUUCGGGUUGUAAACUCCUUUCGCUAGGGACGAAGCUUGUUGUGACGGUACCUAGAUAAGAAGCACCGGCUAACUACGUG
RNAcentral lists this ribosomal RNA (465 nucleotides) under uncultured bacterium. RNAcentral describes it as "partial 16S ribosomal RNA". It matches the Rfam family "Bacterial small subunit ribosomal RNA", at positions 28 to 507 of the family's 1533-position model. The record is from RNAcentral.